CGCGAUUUUAUUGGCUGUAGACACGCCCAGCAUCUUCUUGAGCUCCUCCCUGAGGUGGAUGGGCAGCUAGCUGCAGGUGGCACAGGAUGAUACACAUCUUUUCUCACGCCGCUUUGCCCUCUAGCUCCAAGAUCUCGGCUGCCAGAUGCAGCGACAGAGCUUCUUUGUACAUACAGCCCUGGACACACUUUCAGCAGCAACUCUUCUUGCGCGAGCUGGUGCAAGAACAGGAUUCAUCUGUGGCACAGGAACAGUUGGUGUCAACCGAUGGAGGCAGAGGAGAGACCAGAGCCGUGACUUCAACUGAAGUGGAGUAAAUAAAGAUGAUUGCAGAACUUGGAAGCUGACGAAAUCAGUUUUGGAAAAGAGCUGGCUUGGAGCGUGACAGAAGGGAGAGAUGGAAAGAAUGCUGGGAGUCCAACUCAAGACUGAUGUGUGCUUGGCAGGCAGUCUACCCCAGUCUCAGUCCUCUAGCCUUUUGGCCUUUUUUCCUUUUUGGAGACAGGAUUGCAUCAUAGGGCAGCCUGGCCUCCUACACAGUCCUGCCUCAGUCUCUGGAGUGCUGGGAUUGUAGGCCUAUACCACCGCGCCUUUCUACAAUACAAACAGGAAAGGAAGAGGGGCUUCUUUGGAAAGGAGUAAAAGGACCAUGGAAGAGAUAAGAAGAUAAUGUUGUCAGAAAUUAUGCUGCUUGUGAAGAGGUAAACUGAACCCUUUUGAUUCUGUGAGGUUAUUAAAGAAUAUAAUUUUCAAAUCACGGUAAAAUCUUGAUUCAGAAACACAUGAGGAUAAUCAUUGUUUCCAUGGAAACCUUGGGAGACAGUUGAAAGCCUGGUCCCUGUUGCCUGGAGCAUUAGCCCAGCAUGGCUGCAAAGUUGGUCCUUUCCUGUUACCAUCUCCUGAGUACUGAACUACACGUAUGCGUGAACCUGCCCAUCUCUGCCUCUGUUAACAGCUGCCGUUGUCUCUUCACGAUAUUGUGGCUGACCUAGGUUGGAAGGAACAGAGCCAGUUGGCCAUGGACUGAAACUUUUGGAACUGAUUCUGAGGAGUUAAUGUUUCCAUGAAUAUCUCAGAAGGAGAUGUGGACAAAGGAACACUUGUCUCACUCUCGUAGGUUGGACUACAGUGAUCAUUGAGUAGGAGCUUCAUCUUUAAAACUGGGGUGUGCUCUUAUGCAAUCUUCUUUCCCUGCCCAGAACUGGAUCUGUGAAAAGCUGAAUCAUGAAUGAAAACUCAAUGAGUGUGCGGACUGGAACCUGAAUUACUCUCUGGAGAGAACGAAAGGAGUGGUGCCCAAGAAGAUGGAGAGGGAAGUUAUGAAAUGCUGUGACCAAAUGACAAAUGCUGAUGUUUUGGGAGAUUUUGUUUCCCAUAGGAAAUAGAGUGAAUGCGAUACAUUUCUUUUGUGAGGGAUUCGUCUUUUCGCUUGUUACAGGUUACUCCUUUUUUCGAGAUUUCUAUUUACCUAAUUGAGAAAGAAACCAGAACAAGGUUAUCACUGAAUUAGAGACUUAAGGACAAGGUAUAGAACUGAUAAAUUAGUAAUUAACUGAUUAAAAAAGUACGAUUUAUAUCCAAUAGACAGAAAGGCUCCAGACAUCCUUAGUGCUGUCUUAGCACUAGGUUAGUCUACCUAAUACUUGUCAUUCUGAAAUGUAUGGUGGAACAUCCAACCGGCAAGAGCUACUUCAGGGAAGGACUAUAAUUUUUGUCACAGGACUAUAAUUUUAACACAGCGAAGCUCCCUGUACACUUUCAUUAUAGAUAUUUCUCUUCUGGUGACUCUGAAUGCUCUUCCUACUUUCAGCUCACUUGGCAUGUUGAACUCAAAUUUUAUCAUCUCAUGAAUUAGUCCAAUACCUGAAGGAGCAAGAGAAACAGCACCCGGUUGACAAGAAUAUGACCUGUUGAUUGAACACCAUUAAAAAAUAAUUUGAUUCAGUUGGACUGGGCUUUUUUUUUCCCUCAGUGAAAGUAACAUGAUUAACAUUUUGAAAGUUGUGAACAUGCAUACUUCUAUAAGCCACAAAAUAAUUACUUAUAAAAAUCUGAGUAUGGAUACUGCAUAAUUUCAGAACAGAAUACCCAUCAUAUUGUAUAUAUCUUGAAUUCAAGGUUUGAAAAUUAUAUGUCUAUGUCAUCUAAUAUGUACUUCUGCAUUUUAUCUAGAUCAUACCAUAUUACUGUACAGUUUGGACUUUCCCAUUUUUUAAUAUAAAAUGUAACAUGCAUUGUAGAUUAAUACUUAUAUAUCUUGUUUCUUUAAAAUUAAUUUCUAACAAUUAUUUUCUUUAUUUGAAUACUUGGGGUAUCAUAAAGGUGCUGUUGAGGUAUUUUCAAUAUACUUGUACAACUUCCUGCCUGUAGUUAAUAAACGUGGAUAUUUCAUUAAACAAUUGAAAUGCAUCAUUUACUCUUUGUAA
This 2426-nucleotide long non-coding RNA is filed under the name Mus pahari (shrew mouse). RNAcentral describes it as "lncRNA (MGP_PahariEiJ_G0006499.1)". Lineage: Eukaryota; Metazoa; Chordata; Mammalia; Rodentia; Muridae. The record is from RNAcentral.